Aegilops tauschii subsp. strangulata is the source of this 1346-nucleotide long non-coding RNA. RefSeq lists it as uncharacterized. The record is from RefSeq and is a predicted model, not a curated record. NCBI's taxonomy places the organism in Eukaryota, Viridiplantae, Streptophyta, Magnoliopsida, Poales, Poaceae.
CAAUACGAGGAAAAGAAGCCCAACCCACCUGCUCCUACGAUCCCGUCCCCUAUCCUUCGAACAGCAUGACGCCGCAACCACCGCCUCCCUCCCUGGCUCGCGCCGCCGCCGGGCCCCGGCCACAAAUCGCACUGCCUCCCUACCCCGACCUUCAACCGCGCCGCCGCUGCGUCCUCCCUCCCGUGCCGCCACCGCCACCACCCUCCCCACCUCGCCACCAACCGGCGCCCCGCCGCACCCCCGACCCCAACCGGAGACACCGCCUCACCUCCUUCCCGGAUUCCGCGGCAUCGUCCCCCACACGCUGCCGCUGACGACGGGAGCAACCACCGGUGCGGGUUGCUCCACCACCUACUGGCCUUCACCGCUCCCCUCCACCAGCAUCGGCCCCACCCCAGCCAUCGAGCGUCGGCGUCCCCCAUCUCCCUCCACCUUCCUCUGCGCGUGAUGGACGCAUGGCACGGGACCGUGAGCUCACCGGAUUCCUUCCCCCUACAGCCAGCGCCACCACCUACAUCCGGCGCCAUAGUCGUCCAGGUCGUUCACCUUCGCCGCCUCAGGCCAUGCAACUCCGCCCGUGUGAGUGCGCGCCGCACCUCCGCAGCUUCUCCGCUUCGAGAUGGCAGGUGUAAAACACUCGUGAUUUUGGUCCAUUGUUUUCAGUUUCACAAGCCGCAGCCCAUGCGCCGCCCCCAACCCGCCCCAACCGAUGAUGCCGCUUCUGCCCUGCCCCCAACCGGCAAUGCCGCCGCAGUCCCGCCCCCAAUCGAGCACCGCCCCUGCUCCUUCAGGCGAAGGGCCCUGUCUCGCGUGCCUUGUUCCACUAGCCACCGGCUCCGUCCGCCGUCCUUUCUCUCCUGAACUUCUUCUCCGUCGGCAGGGACGAGCAGGGAGCUGUCAUCCAUGUCGUCCUCAGCCACCAUCAGCUUGGGAAAAACAGUUAAUUGCUGACGCAUAGGUCCAACGCCGAACCAGGCAAAUGUGCGGCUGAAGAAGUUCAAACAAGGGGCGCGGAGCAGCUGGAGGUCAGCAAGCAUGGGGGUGAAGCUAAAAUGGAGCAAACGCAAUCUUUGCGCAGUGGCGCACAAGCCCUGAGCAGCGACCACGCAUGAUGCGAGCAGCUUGAGAAGCAAUAAUACUACUAGAGACGGAAUCUCGAGAUGACUGAAGUCCAACUGUUGCGUUGGACAAGGUCCAUCAAAUUCGUGGUUGACAAAUUCAACCCUCUCAGGUUGUGCCUAUUAUUUUUAAUAUAUCUCAAAGAUGAAUGCAUAUUCCAUUAAAAAAAUGAAUGCAUGUAUUGACGAGAAUACCUCCAGGAAAUUCAAACAUUCGUGGUUCACUUA